This 2922-nucleotide ribosomal RNA is filed under the name Staphylococcus aureus VET0401R. RNAcentral describes it as "bacterial LSU rRNA". It matches the Rfam family "Bacterial large subunit ribosomal RNA". The record is from RNAcentral. Lineage: Bacteria; Bacillati; Bacillota; Bacilli; Caryophanales; Staphylococcaceae.
UUAAGUUAUUAAGGGCGCACGGUGGAUGCCUUGGCACUAGAAGCCGAUGAAGGACGUUACUAACGACGAUAUGCUUUGGGGAGCUGUAAGUAAGCUUUGAUCCAGAGAUUUCCGAAUGGGGAAACCCAGCAUGAGUUAUGUCAUGUUAUCGAUAUGUGAAUACAUAGCAUAUCAGAAGGCACACCCGGAGAACUGAAACAUCUUAGUACCCGGAGGAAGAGAAAGAAAAUUCGAUUCCCUUAGUAGCGGCGAGCGAAACGGGAAGAGCCCAAACCAACAAGCUUGCUUGUUGGGGUUGUAGGACACUCUAUACGGAGUUACAAAGGACGACAUUAGACGAAUCAUCUGGAAAGAUGAAUCAAAGAAGGUAAUAAUCCUGUAGUCGAAAAUGUUGUCUCUCUUGAGUGGAUCCUGAGUACGACGGAGCACGUGAAAUUCCGUCGGAAUCUGGGAGGACCAUCUCCUAAGGCUAAAUACUCUCUAGUGACCGAUAGUGAACCAGUACCGUGAGGGAAAGGUGAAAAGCACCCCGGAAGGGGAGUGAAAUAGAACCUGAAACCGUGUGCUUACAAGUAGUCAGAGCCCGUUAAUGGGUGAUGGCGUGCCUUUUGUAGAAUGAACCGGCGAGUUACGAUUUGAUGCAAGGUUAAGCAGUAAAUGUGGAGCCGUAGCGAAAGCGAGUCUGAAUAGGGCGUUUAGUAUUUGGUCGUAGACCCGAAACCAGGUGAUCUACCCUUGGUCAGGUUGAAGUUCAGGUAACACUGAAUGGAGGACCGAACCGACUUACGUUGAAAAGUGAGCGGAUGAACUGAGGGUAGCGGAGAAAUUCCAAUCGAACCUGGAGAUAGCUGGUUCUCUCCGAAAUAGCUUUAGGGCUAGCCUCAAGUGAUGAUUAUUGGAGGUAGAGCACUGUUUGGACGAGGGGCCCCUCUCGGGUUACCGAAUUCAGACAAACUCCGAAUGCCAAUUAAUUUAACUUGGGAGUCAGAACAUGGGUGAUAAGGUCCGUGUUCGAAAGGGAAACAGCCCAGACCACCAGCUAAGGUCCCAAAAUAUAUGUUAAGUGGAAAAGGAUGUGGCGUUGCCCAGACAACUAGGAUGUUGGCUUAGAAGCAGCCAUCAUUUAAAGAGUGCGUAAUAGCUCACUAGUCGAGUGACACUGCGCCGAAAAUGUACUGGGGCUAAACAUAUUACCGAAGCUGUGGAUUGUCCUUUGGACAAUGGUAGGAGAGCGUUCUAAGGGCGUUGAAGCAUGAUCGUAAGGACAUGUGGAGCGCUUAGAAGUGAGAAUGCCGGUGUGAGUAGCGAAAGACGGGUGAGAAUCCCGUCCACCGAUUGACUAAGGUUUCCAGAGGAAGGCUCGUCCGCUCUGGGUUAGUCGGGUCCUAAGCUGAGGCCGACAGGCGUAGGCGAUGGAUAACAGGUUGAUAUUCCUGUACCACCUAUAAUCGUUUUAAUCGAUGGGGGGGACGCAGUAGGAUAGGCGAAGCGUGCGAUUGGAUUGCACGUCUAAGCAGUAAGGCUGAGUAUUAGGCAAAUCCGGUACUCAUUAAGGCUGAGCUGUGAUGGGGAGAAGACAUUGUGUCUUCGAGUCGUUGAUUUCACACUGCCGAGAAAAGCCUCUAGAUAGAAAAUAGGUGCCCGUACCGCAAACCGACACAGGUAGUCAAGAUGAGAAUUCUAAGGUGAGCGAGCGAACUCUCGUUAAGGAACUCGGCAAAAUGACCCCGUAACUUCGGGAGAAGGGGUGCUCUUUAGGGUUAACGCCCAGAAGAGCCGCAGUGAAUAGGCCCAAGCGACUGUUUAUCAAAAACACAGGUCUCUGCUAAACCGUAAGGUGAUGUAUAGGGGCUGACGCCUGCCCGGUGCUGGAAGGUUAAGAGGAGUGGUUAGCUUCUGCGAAGCUACGAAUCGAAGCCCCAGUAAACGGCGGCCGUAACUAUAACGGUCCUAAGGUAGCGAAAUUCCUUGUCGGGUAAGUUCCGACCCGCACGAAAGGCGUAACGAUUUGGGCACUGUCUCAACGAGAGACUCGGUGAAAUCAUAGUACCUGUGAAGAUGCAGGUUACCCGCGACAGGACGGAAAGACCCCGUGGAGCUUUACUGUAGCCUGAUAUUGAAAUUCGGCACAGCUUGUACAGGAUAGGUAGGAGCCUUUGAAACGUGAGCGCUAGCUUACGUGGAGGCGCUGGUGGGAUACUACCCUAGCUGUGUUGGCUUUCUAACCCGCACCACUUAUCGUGGUGGGAGACAGUGUCAGGCGGGCAGUUUGACUGGGGCGGUCGCCUCCUAAAAGGUAACGGAGGCGCUCAAAGGUUCCCUCAGAAUGGUUGGAAAUCAUUCAUAGAGUGUAAAGGCAUAAGGGAGCUUGACUGCGAGACCUACAAGUCGAGCAGGGUCGAAAGACGGACUUAGUGAUCCGGUGGUUCCGUAUGGAAGGGCCAUCGCUCAACGGAUAAAAGCUACCCCGGGGAUAACAGGCUUAUCUCCCCCAAGAGUUCACAUCGACGGGGAGGUUUGGCACCUCGAUGUCGGCUCAUCGCAUCCUGGGGCUGUAGUCGGUCCCAAGGGUUGGGCUGUUCGCCCAUUAAAGCGGUACGCGAGCUGGGUUCAGAACGUCGUGAGACAGUUCGGUCCCUAUCCGUCGUGGGCGUAGGAAAUUUGAGAGGAGCUGUCCUUAGUACGAGAGGACCGGGAUGGACAUACCUCUGGUGUACCAGUUGUCGUGCCAACGGCAUAGCUGGGUAGCUAUGUGUGGACGGGAUAAGUGCUGAAAGCAUCUAAGCAUGAAGCCCCCCUCAAGAUGAGAUUUCCCAACUUCGGUUAUAAGAUCCCUCAAAGAUGAUGAGGUUAAUAGGUUCGAGGUGGAAGCAUGGUGACAUGUGGAGCUGACGAAUACUAAUCGAUCGAAGACUUAAUCAA